UCCAGACUCCUACGGGAGGCAGCAGUGAGGAAUAUUGGUCAAUGGGCGCGAGCCUGAACCAGCCAAGUCGCGUGAGGGAAGACGGCCCUACGGGUUGUAAACCUCUUUUGUCGGGGAGCAAAGCGAGUCACGUGUGACUCAUUGAGAGUACCCGAAGAAAAAGCAUCGGCUAACUCCGUGCCAGCAGCCGCGGUAAUACGGAGGAUGCGAGCGUUAUCCGGAUUUAUUGGGUUUAAAGGGUGCGCAGGCGGAAUGUCAAGUCAGCGGUAAAAUUUCGGGGCUCAACCCCGUCGUGCCGUUGAAACUGGCGUUCUUGAGUGAGCGAGAAGUAUGCGGAAUGCGUGGUGUAGCGGUGAAAUGCAUAGAUAUCACGCAGAACUCCGAUUGCGAAGGCAGCAUACCGGCGCCCAACUGACGCUGAAGCACGAAAGCGUGGGUAUCGAACAGGAUUAGAUACCCUUGUA
RNAcentral lists this ribosomal RNA (464 nucleotides) under uncultured bacterium. Its description in RNAcentral is "bacterial SSU rRNA". It matches the Rfam family "Bacterial small subunit ribosomal RNA", at positions 330 to 792 of the family's 1533-position model. The record is from RNAcentral.